AAACAUUAAAAUAAAAUCCAAAUAAACAAACAAAUGUCUGAACAAAAAAGAAGCUCAUCGAAACGGCACGCCAGCCGAGGCCGCAGCUUUUCCCACCAGGAACGUCAUCUUGCUGCAGCUGAGUCGAGUCGCCAUCCACCGAACUGGAAACCAGGAGAAGAAGAUCAGUCUUUCCUGAUCAACACCAGCAUCUCAGCCCAGUGUGCCCAGAAUAAGAACAUUCCCCCUCCAGCUGGAGUGGAGUAAGCAGCGUGACAGCGAUGGCGUGCGGUCGCCGUGCGACUGGGCCCCCCCCCCCCGUGCGUCUCCGGCGUCGCUCGUAAAUUCCUCCCGGUCGGGGCCCCUUCCCUGUUUCCCCGCCGGCCUCCUGUGAAAGGAAAAGGAAUCCUGGCAUCAGCGUUCCCGCGGAAACGGGCGCCGGCUCCUCUGUGCUCCCGCGCUGGCGGUAAAUAAGAGCUGUUGCCCGGCGACCGCGCGGCAGCUCGGGGUCGGAUGAAAGCGCCCGAACCGGCGUGACGGACGGGACGUGGGCGGGGCCGGCCGGCGUAAACCUGUCCGCACCCCUCUGAUGGCGGGACCCCUGGAUGCCACCCGGGGGUGAGCUCUGUGGUUUCCACUUAAAACUACAACCCCCCCCCCCCCUUAAAAAACACACCAAACUAAGGGGCAGCAUAAAAUGGUAUAGUAGGAAAAAAGCAUGAAAGCUUGUGGUUGGGCGUUGGGGGGGGGGACUUAAAUGAACACAGCGAGUUAAGAAAGUGUGCAGUGUGAGUCGGUUGGUGAUGGUGGUUAAAGUGUGCAGUGUGAGUCGGUUGGUGAUGGUGGGUAAAGUGUGCAGUGUGAGUCGGUUGGUGAUGGUGGUUAAAGUGUGCAGUGUGAGUCGGUUGGUGAUGGUGGGUAGAAAGUGUGCAGUGUGAGUCGGUUGGUGAUGGUGGUUAAAGUGUGCAGUGUGAGUCGGUUGGUGAUGGUGGUUAAAGUGUGCAGUGUGAGUCGGUUGGUGAUGGUGGGUAAGAAAGUGUGCAGUGUGAGUCGGUUGGUGAUGGUGGUUAAAGUGUGCAGUGUGAGUCGGUUGGUGAUGGUGGUUAAAGUGUGCAGUGUGAGUCGGUUGGUGAUGGUGGGUAAGAAAGGUACAGGUAAGGGUAUGAGUAUGGGUAUGCUGGUACGGGUACGGGUAAGGGUAAGGGUAUGAGUAUGGGUAUGCGGGUUUGAGUACGGGUAUGGGUACGGGUACGGGUACGGGUAUGAGUACGGGUAUGCGGGUAUGGGUACGGGUACAGGUAAAGGUAAGGGUGUGAGUACGGGUAUGGGUAUGCGGGUGCGGGUACGGGUACAG
This is a long non-coding RNA of Anguilla rostrata (American eel), 1333 nucleotides long. RefSeq lists it as uncharacterized. The record is from RefSeq and is a predicted model, not a curated record. Lineage: Eukaryota; Metazoa; Chordata; Actinopteri; Anguilliformes; Anguillidae. The transcript has 4 exons.